AGUCAGUGUGAGUAGACCCGAAACCGGGUGAUCUAUCCAUGUCCAGGUUGAAGCUGCCGUAAAAGGCAAUGGAGGACCGAACCCACAUCCGUUGAAAAGGGUGGGGAUGAGGUGUGGAUAGGGGAGAAAUUCCAAUCGAACCCGGAGAUAGCUGGUUCUCCUCGAAAUAGCUUUAGGGCUAGCCUCGUAUUAGU
Molecule: ribosomal RNA, 194 nt
Filed under: Eubacterium oxidoreducens
Lineage: Bacteria; Bacillati; Bacillota; Clostridia; Eubacteriales; Eubacteriaceae
Description: Bacterial large subunit ribosomal RNA
Rfam family: Bacterial large subunit ribosomal RNA
Source: Rfam by way of RNAcentral